CGGGAUCUUCAGUAUUACUUCGGUUCUGUGGCUUUUACAUUGUUUAAAACAUCGACUAUUUAACAUCGGACAGUUCAAUUUUUAUUUUGAUGGAGUUGCGGGAUGUAAAUGAAGAACAAAAAAGGAGUAAUGAUAAGGAAUUUUAACUUCGUGUGACGGACAUAUUGCAAUCUGCGGUAGACAGAGAGGAUCUCGAACCACACUUCUUGCCUCUAGAAAAUAUGCAAACUAGGUUUUUGAGUCUACGGUUGAUCGCGGGAUAUGGGCCUACCGAUCAUAAGGUGUUUUGGAGCUGGAAUUUUGGUAAUAAAAAGGAUCCAGCCACACGAUCUUCAGAUGCGUCAAGCAUUGGAACAAUGUUUACGGAGCAGAACAGGCACCAACAGAGAAACAAGUCCAUCACUAAUGCACCAAGGAUCCAGCUGAUUACUGGCAUUUUCCAGGAUUGCUCUUUAUUUGCUGUAUCUGUCACAUCUGGUACACUUUUGUAUGUUUUGAAUUAACUUAUUAAUACACUUGCAUAGUUAGGAUUCUGAAUUAAAAGACAGUAUAAUAUUUUAUAUAAGAACUAUGCGGGGCCCCCAGGGGUCAGGAGAAUAUUGUGGAAAACAAUAUAUAAAACUUAGUUGGAAAAUACAAGCCAAAAACAGCACAAUUAGUUAUUCUCCACCCGUUUCAAAUGUGAAAUCAUCAUGAUAUUAACCUGACAGUUUUCUACCACAUAAAGUUUGAGAAUUUUAUGAAACUCUACUGAUAACUAGUUGUAUUUAAUUUAUAUGUGUAUUAUAAUAUA
Paramisgurnus dabryanus is the source of this 793-nucleotide long non-coding RNA. RefSeq lists it as uncharacterized. The record is from RefSeq and is a predicted model, not a curated record. NCBI's taxonomy places the organism in Eukaryota, Metazoa, Chordata, Actinopteri, Cypriniformes, Cobitidae.